CUUUUCCUCUUCUCCUACCCAAACUCUUCUUUUUUUUCCUUUUCAAAACAUUCUUCUUGCAGUGAAGAAUGAAAAUAGGGCUGCAAAGGUAGGAAAUCUUAAUGAAAACUAUUUAAAAUCCGCAGCUGUGGCUGUGAAGGUAGCAUCAGUUAAAAGGAAGAUGAAGAAAGCCCCACAGCUCGGCACCAGUCACAAGGUUUUGGAGGUCCCUCUCAGGUCAGUUCCUGGAACUUGUCACAACCUGAGUGGCUCUCUGGACUGUCAUCUGCAAACCCCAGGCCACAGGACCUGAGCCCAGGCUGCCUUCUCUAUGACCUGAGGCCUUGGGGAUCUGGGCCUGCACGGUGCCCAGGACAGAGGCUGGAACCUCACUGGACAACCAACAAGGACUCGGAGGGGAGCUGAGGUCAGCGCGGGACCCUUUCCUCCCUGCCCCAAACCAGAAGUAGCCACUGCUCGUGGCUCCCAUGAGGCCCUUCCUUCCAGCUGUCAGAGCCUCAGUGUCCACCUCUAGCUGCCCAAGCGCAGCCGCAAAGGAGCCUUCACCUGAAACCAAUCACCCACUUGGAGGCGCAAGUCACCAUGGGAGCCACGGGUGCCCCCUCGUGGUCACAGAGAGGACUGCAGGCCCAGUUUGUUGAGGUGAGGCCGAGAUGUACUAGGUU
RNAcentral lists this long non-coding RNA (665 nucleotides) under Cavia porcellus (domestic guinea pig). RNAcentral describes it as "lncRNA (ENSCPOG00000033329.1)". Lineage: Eukaryota; Metazoa; Chordata; Mammalia; Rodentia; Caviidae. The record is from RNAcentral.